This 170-nucleotide ribosomal RNA is filed under the name Lactiplantibacillus plantarum. Its description in RNAcentral is "Lactobacillus plantarum partial 16S ribosomal RNA". It matches the Rfam family "Bacterial small subunit ribosomal RNA", at positions 338 to 500 of the family's 1533-position model. The record is from RNAcentral. Lineage: Bacteria; Bacillati; Bacillota; Bacilli; Lactobacillales; Lactobacillaceae.
CCUACGGGAGGCAGCAGUAGGGAAUCUUCCACAAUGGACGAAAGUCUGAUGGAGCAACGCCGCGUGAGUGAAGAAGGGUUUCGGCUCGUAAAACUCUGUUGUUAAAGAAGAACAUAUCUGAGAGUAACUGUUCAGGUAUUGACGGUAUUUAACCAGAAAGCCACGGCUAA